Molecule: ribosomal RNA, 301 nt
Filed under: uncultured bacterium
Lineage: Bacteria
Description: partial 16S ribosomal RNA
Rfam family: Bacterial small subunit ribosomal RNA
Source: RNAcentral
CAGUCGCCGCGGUAAUACAGAGGAUGCAAGCGUUAUCCGGAAUGAUUGGGCGUAAAGGGCUCGCAGGCGGUUUCUUAAGUCUGAUGUGAAAGCCCCCGGCUCAACCGGGGAGGGUCAUUGGAAACUGGGAAACUUGAGUGCAGAAGAGGAGAGUGGAAUUCCACGUGUAGCGGUGAAAUGCGUAGAGAUGUGGAGGAACACCAGUGGCGAAGGCGACUCUCUGGUCUGUAACUGACGCUGAGGAGCGAAAGCGUGGGGAGCGAACAGGAUUAGAUACCCGCGUAGUCCCUGUCUCUUAACA